ACUACAGGAUCCCUAGUACUGCGAGUGAAGCGGGAAAAGCUCAAAUUUAAAAUCUGGUGGCCCUUUGGCCAUCCGAGUUGUAAUUUAGAGAAGUGUCUUCCGCGUUGGACCGUGCACAAGUCUCCUGGAAUGGAGCAUCAUAGAGGGUGAGAAUCCCGUCUUUGGCACGGAUGUAUCCAAGGCUUUUUUGUGAUGCGCUCUCGAAGAGUCGAGUUGUUUGGGAAUGCAGCUCAAAAUGGGUGGUGAACUCCAUCUAAAGCUAAAUAUUGGCGAGAGACCGAUAGCGAACAAGUACCGUGAGGGAAAGAUGAAAAGCACUUUGGAAAGAGAGUGAAACAGUACGUGAAAUUGUUGAAAGGGAAACGCUUAAAGUCAGUCGCGUCGGCCGAGACUCAGCCUUGCCCUUGGCUUGGUGUACUUCUCGGUGGGACGGGUCAGCAUCGAUUUUGCCCCUCGAAUAAUGGUGAGGGAAAUGUGACACCUUUCUUAGGUGUGUUAUAGUCUCUUGUCGCAUGCGAGGGGUCGGGAUCGAGGAACUCAGCAUGCACCCUUUGGGUGUCGGGGCUUUGCCCACGAUACGUGCUUAGGAUGUUGGCAUAAUGGCUUUAAACGACCCGUCUUGAAACACGGACCAAGGAGUCUAACAUGUCCGCGAGUGUUCGGGUGGAAAACCCGUGCGCGCAAUGAAAGUGAAAGUCGGGACCUCUGUCGUUGGAGGGCACCGAUGCCCGGACCAGACCUUCUGUGACGGAUCUGCGGUAGAGCGUGCAUGUUAGGACCCGAAAGAUGGUGAACUAUGCCUGAAUAGGGUGAAGCCAGAGGAAACUCUGGGUGGAGGCUCGUAGCGAUUCUGACGUGCAAAUCGAUCGUCAAAUUUG
This 878-nucleotide ribosomal RNA is filed under the name Russula gelatinivelata. RNAcentral's name for it is "eukaryotic LSU rRNA". It matches the Rfam family "Eukaryotic large subunit ribosomal RNA", at positions 64 to 913 of the family's 3401-position model. The record is from RNAcentral. Lineage: Eukaryota; Fungi; Basidiomycota; Agaricomycetes; Russulales; Russulaceae.